RNAcentral lists this ribosomal RNA (253 nucleotides) under uncultured bacterium. RNAcentral describes it as "partial 16S ribosomal RNA". It matches the Rfam family "Bacterial small subunit ribosomal RNA", at positions 524 to 776 of the family's 1533-position model. The record is from RNAcentral.
UACGGAGGGGGCUAGCGUUGUUCGGAAUUACUGGGCGUAAAGCGCACGUAGGCGGACCAGCAAGUUGGGGGUGAAAUCCCGGGGCUCAACCCCGGAACUGCCUUCAAAACUGCGGGUCUGGAGGUCGAGAGAGGGAAGUGGAAUUCCCGGUGUAGUGGUGAAAUGCGUAGAUAUCGGGAGGAACACCAGUGGCGAAGGCGACUUCCUGGCCCGUUCUUGACGCUGAGGCGCGAAAGCUAGGGGAGCAAACGGG